This 411-nucleotide ribosomal RNA is filed under the name Didymella pomorum. RNAcentral describes it as "eukaryotic LSU rRNA". The stretch from base 92 to 245 matches the Rfam family "5.8S ribosomal RNA". The record is from RNAcentral. Lineage: Eukaryota; Fungi; Ascomycota; Dothideomycetes; Pleosporales; Didymellaceae.
UACCUUCGUUUCCUCGGCGGGUCCGCCCGCCGAUUGGACAAUUUAAACCAUUUGCAGUUGCAAUCAGCGUCUGAAAAAACUUAAUAGUUACAACUUUCAACAACGGAUCUCUUGGUUCUGGCAUCGAUGAAGAACGCAGCGAAAUGCGAUAAGUAGUGUGAAUUGCAGAAUUCAGUGAAUCAUCGAAUCUUUGAACGCACAUUGCGCCCCUUGGUAUUCCAUGGGGCAUGCCUGUUCGAGCGUCAUUUGUACCUUCAAGCUCUGCUUGGUGUUGGGUGUUUGUCUCGCCUCUGCGCGUAGACUCGCCUCAAAACAAUUGGCAGCCGGCGUAUUGAUUUCGGAGCGCAGUACAUCUCGCGCUUUGCACUCAUAACGACGACGUCCAAAAGUACAUUUUUACACUCUUGACCU